AUGCCACAAGGCCCCGCCACCGCAGUUUCGACUCCACAACAACAAACAUACCGAGGCAAUACCGCGAACACGCUGGAGAAGAGCCGACUAUCGCAACCAUUGCCACGUCGCCGACAUCGCUCCCACCAUCAUCGUUGCCACAGAAGCCUGGUCGCCACAGUGAUCCUCUUGGGGCCGCCGCCCCGACAUCCACCGCUCCGUCGCGCCCAGCGCACUGUCGCCGCCCCGACAUACCACUGCUCCCCUGGAGCAGCAACGCCGCACAGCCCAGUUGCCCGCAGCCCACGCUGCUCAGGGAAACCGCUCGCAGACCACGAACGUCGCACCACAUCCGGGGCCGCCGCCCCGACAUAA
RNAcentral lists this ribosomal RNA (354 nucleotides) under Triticum aestivum (bread wheat). RNAcentral's name for it is "partial small subunit ribosomal RNA". The record is from RNAcentral. Lineage: Eukaryota; Viridiplantae; Streptophyta; Magnoliopsida; Poales; Poaceae.